Molecule: ribosomal RNA, 484 nt
Filed under: uncultured bacterium
Lineage: Bacteria
Description: partial 16S ribosomal RNA
Rfam family: Bacterial small subunit ribosomal RNA
Source: RNAcentral
AUUGAACGCUGGCGGAAUGCUUUACACAUACAAGUCGAACGGCAGCACGGGGGCAGCCCUGGUGGCGAGUGGCGAACGGGUGAGUAAUACAUCGGAACGUGCCCGGUCGUGGGGGAUAACGUAGCGAAAGUUACGCUAAUACCACAUACGAUCUGAGGAUGAAAGCGGGGGACCUUCGGGCCUCGCGCGAUCGGAGCGGCCGAUGUCAGAUUAGGUAGUUGGUGGGGUAAAGGCCUACCAAGCCGACGAUCUGUAGCUGGUCUGAGAGGACGACCAGCCACACUGGGACUGAGACACGGCCCAGACUCCUACGGGAGGCAGCAGUGGGGAAUUUUGGACAAUGGGCGCAAGCCUGAUCCAGCCAUUCCGCGUGCAGGACGAAGGCCUUCGGGUUGUAAACUGCUUUUGUACGGAACGAAAAGGCUCUGGCUAAUACCUGGGGCUCAUGACGGUACCGUAAGAAUAAGCACCGGCUAACUACGUG